UCUCCAGAAUUUCGACUGACUUUUGUUACAAAUCCAGCUGUAUUUCCAAACUUGUUAAUUUUCUUUAAAGAAGUAUUAUUUUGAAUUAUGUCUGACUUUACAGGAAGAUCUGCAGCUAUAAGUUCUCAGGUUCUAUCCACGUUGUUCGAUCGUAAGUAAAUACAAUUCUCAAAUUGUCUUUCUCUAAUCAUAUACUGAAUAUAUAUAUGUAUAUACAGAAAUGCAUCAUGCUUAAUAAUGAUUUUCUUAUUUUUAGGGGCAGUCUCAGAAGAUCCAAACAUUGUCUUAGAGUCGGAAUUUAUAAGCGAUCUUGCCAAUACUCAGGAGACAUACCAGAACCACACAGGAUUAAACAAUACAAUUGAUAACCGGGAGAAUCCUAGGAAGAACCGCUUGUCAUUGAAUAAAAAAAGAACUGACUCUGAAGCUAUCAGAUCAUCACAGCUGGUGAAUACGGCUCUGACACCAUCCGGUUCUGUUCAGAUAGGAGUACACAGCAUAACCCGUGAUGAAGACGUAAUUCUCAUCUCGUCUGAAUCGGAAGACGAACCUGUGGCAGACCUGCCUUCAGGGCAGAGAUUUGAUUUCAUCUCCGUCACGCCUCCUCCCACACCACGGCAGGCUGCCAGGGCAAGGCCAGACAUCGAACAGAGAGCAGAACCUGAACCUGAACCAGAACC
This is a long non-coding RNA of Xiphophorus maculatus (southern platyfish), 680 nucleotides long. RefSeq lists it as uncharacterized. Lineage: Eukaryota; Metazoa; Chordata; Actinopteri; Cyprinodontiformes; Poeciliidae. The record is from RefSeq and is a predicted model, not a curated record. The transcript is spliced from 4 exons.